CUAUAAUAUUAAAAAAAAAAAGAAAAAAAGCCUUAAAAAGUACUUUGAUUAGAUAAAUAAGUAUAUAUUGUAGCAUGUAUAAUGAUUGCAAAUGAAAUAACUAUCAAUUAAAACCAAAUAAGGUGAAGUAGACACAUAUAUAUUAGCGUACAGCCUUCGGCAUUGAGUAAAAUCCAUGGAUUAGUCAGCUGUACUAUAUAGGCC
This 204-nucleotide long non-coding RNA is filed under the name Mytilus galloprovincialis (Mediterranean mussel). Lineage: Eukaryota; Metazoa; Mollusca; Bivalvia; Mytilida; Mytilidae. The record is from RNAcentral.